CUCUUCGUGUCUGCUGGAGCUGGAAGAAGGAAUGGAACACAGUAUAUCUAGUAAAUUUAACUUCAGACGGCCUUUUUAAAGGCAGAUAUUGUUAUAUUUUAAGCAUGUUAACUCCCUGUUUUCAGACCUUUAUUGGCUGACUCAGUAUAGAUAAUGUACACAGGAUGGGACUCAUCUGCACGUGCUGAGGUCCUCCGUGGUCAGCACGUGGGGGUCACGGUUAGACUAAAGAUGGACAGGAAUCUGAUCAAAGUUUAAAUCUUAGACUUUAGUAAAGUUAAGUUAAAUAAGGAGCACCAACAGACUCUUUGAGGACAUCUUGAAGAUUAAAGGUGAGUUCUAAACAGUGAGCCAGAGGUAUGACCUCACUGCACAGUUCCCGAUAUGUGGAUCAAUCAUAACGAUAUUGCCUGAAGCGUGAGAUAUCAACCAACUUGGAUUAUUUCCAAACUACUUAGUCAGUGGUUAGAUUGCAUUAGUUUUACGUCAAGCACAAAACAUUUUGAACCACCAUUUUUACUCAUCUGAUCCUGGAGAAACACCCAGAAGAUCAGAAUCAGUUUAAGUCUGAAGGUCUGAUGUGUCUGAGUAAAAACUGUCACACUUCUAACAUCAAACAUCAAUACCAUACCAGCAUAUGUUGCCGUUUAAACACUGAAUUCUUAAAUGGGAGGAAAUAUUGAGCACUACAGGGUUAAUCUCAGACUGUUUCACCAGCUUGAACCCUUAAGAGAGGUUUAACGGAUUUAUCAAAGCUUUUCUGCAGCAUCAUGGAGACAUGGUGACAGACUAAAAGGUGUUUUGUCGUUUCAGGAUCAGGAUGCUGCAGAGGUCCAGUCCUGCACAAAGAUCUGUGCUCCUGAGAGUUCAGUCUGAAGACAUGAGCUGAUGUAAGUCUAUGGAGGCCUCUGAUCUGCAGAAACAGUCACGCUGAUAUGAUGAUUCACUAGACUAGAGUCUCUGAUUGAACCAUGAAGCUCUUUCACAGUGCACUGACCCUGCAGAGCCCUGAUUAAACUGACUAAGGAGAGCAGAGCUGCUUUUAAUGACUUUUCCUUUUUCUUGCUCCAGGUAUUGGAUCAGGAUCAGCGUGAUGUGAUGGCUCCUCCUCAGUAAGUCUGACACUAGAUAAAGCCUCUCUCUUAUAAUUAUUUAUGUGGGAUGAUGAUUUCAUAGACUAGAGUCUCUGACAAAAGCAUGAAGUUGUUUCACAGUGCACUGACCACAGAAACCACUCAGUUAUUGGAUGUCUUUAACCCAAUUUGCUGCUCAUUAUAUGGAUCUGAAAUCACUGCAGGCAAACUGUUGCAAACACAGAUGACUUUAUUCAACAUCAGAUUCACAGGCAUAUUUGUCUGUACUGACAUUUGGGAAGUAUUAGUAUGAAGGAUUCCAUUCCUUAAAUGUAAAAUGACUUCCUGUUAUACAUGCAGAUGAAACAGGAUCUGAAGUUUUUAGAAUCACAUUCAGGCUAACAUCUGCUUCUAAUACAAAGUGGAGGAGAAAAUUUUAUACUGAAGUUUGAAAGUAUUCUUACCCUUCAUCAGACCUGGACUGUUGGACUUUUUGUAGAAAAAAGUUCUUUCAGACAUUUUGAGUUUAUUUUUCAGUAUAUCCAAAGAAGAAAAAUGUGUCAGAAUAUAAAUAUAGAGGGAUCAGUCUCAUAGUCCUCUUUGUUUCCUGCUGUAACAGUGAAUGGGUUAAAACAUCCAAAUAUGUGUCAUCUCAGAGCUUCUUCAUGCUCUGACAUGUUACUGAAUUUGGACCUUUUUUGUCUUUCAGCUGGUCUCUGCAGACGGUGAGGAGAUGAUGGGACUGUUUUAUCUGUAAGUACAAACCAUGGUGUUGAAGUUAAGGGUGACAUUCUUCUUUCAUGCAGCAGUGGGUGAUAAAGUAGAAAUUAUCAUGACCUUAGAUAAAGGACGUAAUAGUAAUAAAUUAGGUCUCAGAGGGGCUUGUCUCCUACUCUGCUGUCUGAGUUGGUCGAUGAUGAUUCAGUUUUUCGGUUCGACUGAUUUCAAACUGAAGUUUUCUCGCAGCGCACUGAGACGCUCAGAUGUACAGAGUUCCUGUUUGGAGAGUUUCUUUUUUUAGUCUUGUACAGAAAAUGAACAAAACUUGUGUUUCUGUCUCUCCAGGUCAGACUGUGGCAGCCUGAGCUGAAGCACAAAUAGGUUAGUGUUGAUUUGACUGUUAUUGGAUUGACAUGAAAAUCUUUGAUUUGGAUUAUUUUUCCACAUGCUGACGUUAAAUGUGUCUUCACAGGUGAUCCAGGGUGAGUUUGAUCUGCACAAGCUCUGCAAGAACAAUGACGCAUGAAGUUGGUUGUAGAUGUUGAUAUAUUGUCCCAGAAUCCUCUGUAAUUUAAAAAGAAAAUCUUUUUCUGGUUUAGUUUUAGUUUUGAGUUGUAUUUAUAUAACUGAUGUAAAAAAAAGUUUAAAAAUGUUUUGUUUUUUUCUUAAUGAUUUAAUUUUGAUAAUAAAUGAUUCUUCAUCUCCUGAA
Molecule: non-coding RNA, 2502 nt
Organism: Xyrichtys novacula (pearly razorfish)
Lineage: Eukaryota; Metazoa; Chordata; Actinopteri; Labriformes; Labridae
Source: the annotation of a GenBank genome assembly